RNAcentral lists this ribosomal RNA (339 nucleotides) under Streptomyces sp. Its description in RNAcentral is "bacterial SSU rRNA". It matches the Rfam family "Bacterial small subunit ribosomal RNA", at positions 953 to 1286 of the family's 1533-position model. Lineage: Bacteria; Bacillati; Actinomycetota; Actinomycetes; Kitasatosporales; Streptomycetaceae. The record is from RNAcentral.
GACGCAACGCGAAGAACCUUACCAAGGCUUGACAUACACCGGAAACGGCCAGAGAUGGUCGCCCCCUUGUGGUCGGUGUACAGGUGGUGCAUGGCUGUCGUCAGCUCGUGUCGUGAGAUGUUGGGUUAAGUCCCGCAACGAGCGCAACCCUUGUCCUGUGUUGCCAGCAUGCCCUUCGGGGUGAUGGGGACUCACAGGAGACCGCCGGGGUCAACUCGGAGGAAGGUGGGGACGACGUCAAGUCAUCAUGCCCCUUAUGUCUUGGGCUGCACACGUGCUACAAUGGCAGGUACAAAGAGCUGCGAAACCGUGAGGUGGAGCGAAUCUCAAAAAGCCUGU